UUACGGGAGGCAGCAGUGGGGAAUUUUGGACAAUGGGGGCAACCCUGAUCCAGCAAUGCCGCGUGAGUGAAGAAGGCCUUCGGGUUGUAAAGCUCUUUUGUCAGGGAAGAAACGGUCUAGGCUAAUAUCCUGGAUUAAUGACGGUACCUGAAGAAUAAGCACCGGCUAACUACGUGCCAGCAGCCGCGGUAAUACGUAGGGUGCAAGCGUUAAUCGGAAUUACUGGGCGUAAAGCGUGCGCAGGCGGUUAUGUAAGACAGAUGUGAAAUGCCCGGGCUCAACCUGGGAACUGCAUUUGUGACUGCAUAGCUAGAGUGUGUCAGAGGGGGGUAGAAUUCCACGUGUAGCAGUGAAAUGCGUAGAUAUGUGGAGGAAUACCGAUGGCGAAGGCAGCCCCCUGGGAUAACACUGACGCUCAUGCACGAAAGCGUGGGGAGCAAACAGGAUUAGAUACCCCGGUAGC
Molecule: ribosomal RNA, 463 nt
Filed under: uncultured bacterium
Lineage: Bacteria
Description: bacterial SSU rRNA
Rfam family: Bacterial small subunit ribosomal RNA
Source: RNAcentral